GGGGAAUAUUGCACAAUGGAGGAAACUCUGAUGCAGCGACGCCGCGUGAGUGAAGGAGGUCUUCGGAUCGUAAAACUCUGUCCUUGGUGAAGAAUAAAUGACGGUAGCCAAGGAGGAAGCCCCGGCUAACUACGUGCCAGCAGCCGCGGUAAUACGUAGGGGGCGAGCGUUGUCCGGAUUUACUGGGCGUAAAGGGUGAGUAGGCGGUAAUAUGUGUCAGAUGUAAAAGGCUAUGGCUUAACCAUAGUUGGCAUUUGAAACUGUAUUACUUGAGUGCAGGAGAGGUAAGUGGAAUUCCUAGUGUAGCGGUGAAAUGCGUAGAUAUUAGGAGGAACACCAGUGGCGAAGGCGACUUACUGGACUGUAACUGACGCUGAGUCACGAAAGCGUGGGUAGCAAAC
This 401-nucleotide ribosomal RNA is filed under the name uncultured bacterium. Its description in RNAcentral is "bacterial SSU rRNA". It matches the Rfam family "Bacterial small subunit ribosomal RNA", at positions 356 to 773 of the family's 1533-position model. The record is from RNAcentral.